UACCCGCGGCCCGAGUGGUGCUCAUUAUUAUUGAGCCUAAAGCGUCCGUAGCUGGCCGGGCAAAUCUCCGGGUAAAUCGGGCCGCUCAACUGUCCGAAUUCCGGAGACACUGCUCGGCUUGGGAUCGGGAGAGGGUGAAGGUACUCCCUGGGUAGGGGUAAAAUCCUGUAAUCCGGGGGGGACCACCAGUGGCGAAGGCGUUCACCUAGAACGAAUCCGACAGUGAGGGACGAAGCCCUAGGGCGCAAACGGGAUUAGAUACCCCGGUAGUCUAGGGUGUAAACGCUGCAGACUUGGUGUUGGGGGUCCUGCGUGGGCUGCCAGUGCCGGAGCGAAGGUGUUAAGUCUGCCGCUUGGGGAGUACGGUCGCAAGACUGAAACUUAAAGGAAUUGGCGGGAGAGCACCGCAACGGGAGGAGCGUGCGGUUCAAUUGGAUUCAACGCCGGAAAACUCACCGGGGGCGACGGAGGGAUGAAAGCCAGGCUGAAGACCUUGCCCGAUUCUCCGAGAGGUGGUGCAUGGCCGUCGUCAGUUCGUACCGUAAGGCGUUCUGUUAAGUCAGAUAACGAACGAGACCCUCGCCUUCAGUCGCCACUUCACGAGCGAUCGUGAGAGCACACUGGAGGGAUCGCUGCCGCUAAGGCAGAGGAAGGAGAGGUCUACGGUAGGUCCCGUAUGCCCCGAAUCUCCCGGGCAACACGCGCGCUACAAAGGUGGGGACAAUGGGAUCCGACCCCGAAAGGGGAAGGCAAUCCUGAAACCCCAUCGUAGUCUGGAUCGAGGGCUGUAACUCGCCCUCGUGAAAAUGGAUUCCGUAGUAAUCGCGGGUCAACAUCCCGCGGUGAAUGUGCCCCUGCUCUU
This 862-nucleotide ribosomal RNA is filed under the name uncultured archaeon. RNAcentral describes it as "bacterial SSU rRNA". It matches the Rfam family "Archaeal small subunit ribosomal RNA", at positions 474 to 1337 of the family's 1478-position model. The record is from RNAcentral.